RNAcentral lists this ribosomal RNA (253 nucleotides) under uncultured bacterium. RNAcentral describes it as "partial 16S ribosomal RNA". It matches the Rfam family "Bacterial small subunit ribosomal RNA", at positions 524 to 776 of the family's 1533-position model. The record is from RNAcentral.
UACGAAGGGGGCUAGCGUUGUUCGGAAUUACUGGGCGUAAAGGGCGCGUAGGCGGCCAUUCAAGUCAGAGGUGAAAGCCCAAGGCUCAACCUUGGAACUGCCUUUGAUACUGUUUGGCUUGAGACCGGUAGAGGUAAGUGGAACUGCGAGCGUAGAGGUGAAAUGCGUAGAUAUCUGGAGGAACACCGGUGGCGAAGGCGGCAUCCUGGACCGACACUGACACUGAGGAGCGAAAGCCAGGGGAGCAAACGGG